This 2152-nucleotide long non-coding RNA is filed under the name Betta splendens (Siamese fighting fish). RNAcentral describes it as "lncRNA (ENSBSLG00000024601.1)". Lineage: Eukaryota; Metazoa; Chordata; Actinopteri; Anabantiformes; Osphronemidae. The record is from RNAcentral.
GCAGGAUGAUGGUGAUGGUGACCUUGCAGUUGCAGCGGAUAAAGGUAAAAAGCCGAGCUACUCCGAGACAUCACGGAGGAUCAAGCUGGGACAAAACCUGGACCAGCUGGACCACUUUCACCGACAGAAGGAGCAUGACGUGCUUAAAGCCAGAGAAAAUCUAAAUCUUUGUCGUCAGAAUAUUGAGAGUUUGAUGGCACAGAGGGAUAACGCAGAGAAAGAGAUAGAUCAACAAAAAGCAGCAGACAACAGUGUUGCUGUGUUUCGUUUGCGAGCCAAGCAUAGACAGCUGUGUCAACAACUGCAGGUAGAGGAGGAUCUGGAAGGUCACAUCAUCACUGAGCUGAAGCAACAAGAGUAAGUCCAAAAGAAAAAUGGUCUGACAGCAAGGUUGUGUUGUGACAGCUACAGUACUAUUAUCACAUGGAAAUGCUCAAAACGACGUUUUCUACUAAUAGAAGCAGGUCUACUACUAAAUAGCUAUCAUUUAAUUUUAAUAUUGGAUAAUUUAAAUAAAUUAUUUGAGAAUGAUGUGGGGCAGGACUCAUCAUUUGUGUAUAUUUACCAUGAAACUCAGUGACCUCAGUUUGACUGCUGUUGACUUUUUCAACAAACAUCCAAUUAAGUUUAGGAUAUCAUGUCUACUUUUUAACUAAAUGCCUACUUAAAUACAAAUUGUAUUAUUAUUGCCAUUAUAAUUAACUGAGUGAGUGAAUACAUACAUAUGUACGUAUGAACCCAACCGGUCAUCAUAUUGAGCUGCAUGUUCUGUUUGAAUAUAACCUUUUUUGUCCUGGCUUGUUAGAUUGGAGCUGAAUAAGGUGGAGGUGGAGAUUGGCAGGUUCUCCUCACUCCGGCAGGAGCUGGAGGAGGAGGGGCAGGCUUUCCAGGUCCUUAAGGCCCAGAAGGCAGCGACAAGGUUGCAGCAGGAGAGGAAAGCCAGCAAGAGACUGCAGCUUAGAAUGCAGCAUCUAAAGGAUAAUCAGACAAGCAUGGCUGAAAACAAGGAGUCUGAAGAUCAGAAGAAACUUGAACAGAGCCAGGCAAACCGCAAGGUAGCUGUCAGAUACUUAAAGGAGACCAUGAAAAGGAUGCAACAGCAAGAGGCUGAGAAGGAGCAGCAGACCAGGGAGUUACUGGAAAAGAGGAUGCAGGCGAUCAAGUCACUGAAAUCUAACAUAGAAGCCACACAGGAGAGCUUACGGGUUCGACAAAGCAGAGUGAACGCAAAUGCCCAGAAGACAAAACAGCAACAGAGUGAGAUGAGACAAUCUCUGCAGGCUCAAGGCAUCAACAGUACCAAGCACAUGUACCAACAGAAACAACUAGAGAGGCUAAAGCAACAACAGGCGUAAGUCUUCUAUACCCCCCCCUCCUCUCCUCCUAACCCACGUGCAUGUCCUCCACUCCCACUCCAUGCAGCACUGUGUGGGUGUUUUCUCUUACUGUGUGCUAAGGAAAAUAUGACCCCAUUUCACUAUAAUGCAGAGCUGUUGAUUUGCUCUUCUUAGGGAAUUUGAGGAGAAGCAAAAGUCAAACAGGGUGGCGAUUGUGGCAAAGAUUCUUCAGGAGGAGCAGCUGUUAAAGACCAGAAAGAGUCAGCAGGUACUGCUGCCUAAGCCCCCCGUCACUGACAAGUUCCUUUCUUUGGAGAGGGCGAGAGAGAAGCUCUGGCACUCCCUGAACCCCAGCCCACCAUCAUUCACAGAGGAGAGGAUAAUUGUGAGUGGUUCAUAACAAGUGUGGCAGUCGUGAAAUCAAUAUGAAGAGAUCUGAGCAGCUACGAGCCAAUGCGUGUCUUUUUCAGCAAUAUAGAGAGUUUAGUGACAUCAGCGCCACAUCAUCAACUUCCUUUGACAUCGAGGACCUGGAGGAAGCCACGCUCCAGGAAGUGGACCACCAAAGCUUUCCUGACAGUCUUGCUGAGCCUGAGUUUUCUGGGCUUUGGGAGCAGAACUCCAAGGUGCAGUACCCUGUAAUAACAGCCACUGCCAACUACAAGCCAAUCCCUGCCAGCUGCUAAAAUUAAACACUCAUAAAUCAUGUUCCAAACACAGCAGGCACUUUUUUUUCUGUGGUUGUGUUUCCUGCAUCUCUGUGAGCAGAUGAAUUUCCUGAAAGCAUGUUCAAUAAAUAAUGUCUCUGUACGCCA